UCCUCCUCUCGCACGACUCUCCCCUCUUCUCCCCUCCCCCCGCCCCCUCCCCCAAACCCAAGUAACAAAAACUUCUGUUCCCGGCAGUUCUCCCGUGCCCACGUGGGGAGUGACUGAGGCCGCUCGGCCCCAGGCGGAGCGGCGGGCAAAGCUGCCUCGGGGUCGGGGUCGGGGUCGGCCCGCCCCAGGCGGAGCGGCGGGCAAAGCUGCCUCGGGGUCGGGGUCGGCCCGCCCCAGGCGGAGCGGAGGCCGGGGCCGCCGCCCCCCUCUCCCCUCGCUCGCCGGCCGCCGCCCUGCGGCCCGGGGGGGCCGGGAGCGCGGCGGGGCCCGGCGGCCGGAGGGAGGUGCCCCCUGGGCGCGCCCCCGCCACGCUCCGGUCGACCGGGACGCGGCCCCCGAGAGCGGCGGCUCUUCAUUCGGCUGCUGGGCGAAGGGCUCCGAGUAAGAACGUCAACUUUCCGGUAGCGGCGGCGCAGGAGCCCCGGCCGCGCGAAGCUCCGGGACGGCCCCGGGGAACCGGCACCCACGCAGCAGUCGUGCCCUUUCCGGCCUUGGGCGUCUGCCCCUCGACUUCCGUCGGCGGCGGCCCCCGGGGCGGUUUCUCCCGCCCGCCGCGCAGCCUACCUGCCGCCCCACCGAGCGGCCCUUCCUCUUGCAACGGGAACAUCCAUCUCGGGUUUUAUUUCCUCCCGAGACACCAGAGGAAGCCUCAGGAAUGAUGAUCCACCCACAGGAAUAUCCAAAGAGCAGCACGUUUGCACUCCAAGAACUGAGGGGAAGUGGCAGGCCAAGCUCCACAGGUGACUGAGAUGGUGAUAUAGGACCACCUUGAGAUUUACCAGAAGCCAAGGCAACAGCCCUGGGACAACAACAACCUCAAGACCUUGCAUUUUGUGGGAUGUCAUUUGAGCCUCACAUCAACAUGUGGAGAAGGACAAUUCAGGGUACCGAUUUUUCCCUUGCUGAUAAUCAACUUCACACUGCCCAGCCGACCUGAAUGGACACAGCAGUGUGGGCACUCACAGGGUUUCUUGAGCCAUAUGCUCAUUUUCAGAGAUGGGGCUGAGCUGAGCCAGGCACGUGUGGAGUCUGUUAUUUGCCAACUGUGUUAUCCAGUGCCUCAGAUGGUGAUCUGAUCACUAGGGGGCAAGUCUUUCCUGUUUGUCACCUGUGGAGGGCCACACAUCAAGGACAGCAGAGAUGUCUGGUGACUGUCUGCUUCCCUCCAGCACAGGACACUGACCCGGGCUGCACUCACUCCUGCUCUGCUGUUCUCCUGCCCUGUUUGGGGAAGGUCCCCAUUUCACAUCACCAAUUGUUGGCCAACUUGUGAAUCAAAGCCAAAGCCAUGUUGGGCUUUUUUUGGAUGUUUGACAGGUGACACUUCUAUCAGAAGAGUCCUGUGAAGGAGGCCAGAGGUCUGAAAAAUGCCUUCCUUGGUGGGAAGGCAGGAAACCUAACUCUGGGACUAUUUGUACCAUA
Molecule: long non-coding RNA, 1482 nt
Organism: Mirounga angustirostris (Northern elephant seal)
Lineage: Eukaryota; Metazoa; Chordata; Mammalia; Carnivora; Phocidae
Exons: 3
Source: RefSeq, a predicted model, not a curated record